CUCAUUUGGUGAGAUCAGAAUGUGCCUGAAUAACUCUGAAGGUUAAAAUAUGUUGACUGAAUUUUCUGCUGCCACCAUUCAGCAGCAGCUAGGCUAUGCCUCUCAUGAUCAUGACACGUAGUGGAAAUUUUCCUGGCUUCUAUACAUCAUCAUCUCUGCCUGGCUAGCCUGGACUUCUUUUUGUGGAGACUGGAUUCCAAGAUUGAAAGUAGAAGCUACAUGUUUUCUCCAAGCAGGGCUUUCAGACUUCACUUCUGCAACAUUUUAUUGAUGAAAGCAAGUCACAAGACCAGACUGAUUCAAGGGGUGGAGAAAUAGACCCUACUUCUUGAUGGAGGGAGGAGUAGAGUUACAUUGCAAAGGGAUCUGGACAAAAAAAGGAGUGAUUUAUUAGGAAUCAUGUUUAACAAUUUACCACAAUCCCCAGCGCAACUGCCUGUUAGCUGGAUCCAGAAAUGUCUACGACUACUGCAAUGCCACUUGGCCUUAGGGGUGAUGUGACCCAGUGUAAAGAGAUGGUGGUCUUAACCAAUCACAGUUAAGAUAGUUUAGUUUUGGAAGGUAUAAAAAAUAUGUAACAACAUGAAUGCACUUUUAGGGUCAGACAAGAGACUUGGAAAGAGCCUGCAAAAUGGAGGAGCCCUGAGGCCUAAGUCUCAUGAGUGUCAAUGCUUACCUGUAUCUAGACACUGGCAUCCCCCUUUUGAUAAGGCCAAGAUUGAUUGUUUUCCUUUUCUACCUACCCUAUAUCUAAUCCAUGUACAAACACUGUUGACACACAAAAGAACCCUAAAUUCAACAAUCUGUGAAGAAUUUUUGCACUAACAUGUUAGUUCAAAAACUCAACAUUGCUUGCUAAGACUAUUGCAAUAAACUCCUCUAUGAUCCCCUAAUUUGAUUCUUGCUCCUCUUAUUUUUUACACAGUCAUCAGAGUAAAUCUUUUCAAAGGUAAAUUGGAUUUUAUGACUUUU
This 972-nucleotide long non-coding RNA is filed under the name Homo sapiens (human). RNAcentral's name for it is "HSALNT0114246". Lineage: Eukaryota; Metazoa; Chordata; Mammalia; Primates; Hominidae. The record is from RNAcentral.